UCCAUGCCUAAGACCAUCCUCAAUUUCAACAGAAUUCAAUGUCCAAUCAUCUACUGUCACGUUCAUGUCGGUAAGACUUUUGUUAAGAAUUCCCCGUACUCAUGGCUUUUUCCUAAAUUUAAUAGCACAGUGCCUUAAAAAGGAUAUACACAAUCCAAAUAAAUCAGGCUAAAAAACAUUUUACGAUCACUAUAGACCAUCAAAAAGAGUUGCAAGUCGGGAUUGCUUUCUCAUAGAAAAGAACCCAAAUAAUAUAGACAUAAAACAUUGAAUCCCCAAUUUACUAAGCAACACCUGGUGCACUCUCAGACUUCGCUUUCCAUGGGCUCUGUUGUAGUUGAUGGUACUUCAUUUCCGGAUCUAGUAGUCUCAAUUGCACCAGUUUCGGUUGGGACUUGAAUUCGGGUUCUCUGCACCUUGAGAUUGUGACCUCCUCGAGAGGGAGUUGGCGAGGGUGUUUUUGGAGUAGUAGGCUUUACUGGCAUCGAUUUUGUCAUUAUCGGCCUACAAGACCUGUGAAAGCAAAUAAAGUUCAAGUGGCGAGGACAAUAUUUAUACUUGAAAAGAAACUGAAAUCAUCAAUACAGCUCCACUUAGAGGGAAAACUUCCUUACUAGGGCUCCAAUCUUUUGCCUGACUAGCAUGUCGGUUCGCUACAUUUCAUUAUAGUUGCACAAUUAGUUCUUAUUGAACUUCUAAACCUCCGCUAAAUCAUUACUACUGCCUGACUAGCAUGUGAUGAUUUAACAGAGAUGUAGACUUUUUU
This 766-nucleotide long non-coding RNA is filed under the name Olea europaea subsp. europaea. The record is from RNAcentral. Lineage: Eukaryota; Viridiplantae; Streptophyta; Magnoliopsida; Lamiales; Oleaceae.